RNAcentral lists this long non-coding RNA (628 nucleotides) under Phoenix dactylifera (date palm). RNAcentral's name for it is "long non-coding RNA (PDAC_LNC020363)". The record is from RNAcentral. Lineage: Eukaryota; Viridiplantae; Streptophyta; Magnoliopsida; Arecales; Arecaceae.
UCACACAACCAUAUGACUUAUACACAGCAGGAGACUUUCAUGUAUAAUAAUCAAUGAUUAUUACACAACCAUAUGACUUAUACACAGCAGGAGACUUUGAUUAUGAGGUCAACUGGGUUAGUAUAAGUUCUUAUAAGCACAUUAAUAAUCAUUGAUGCCUGUAAAAUAACUCUCGUCUAAAAAAGGAACUGAAUACUUGCAAUUUAACUUUGAAGCUUAAACCCUUAUACUUGCAACAUCCCUUCUCCGUCCACUGUUUAUGCCUCAGAUUCCUCAUAAUCAUGCGUCAAGCUUUUUCAGCAAAAUUUGAGAAGAAUAGUGCACAUAGGGAGUGGAAGAGGAAACUCAUGCAGCACUGCCCCAUAAGCUUGUAAUGAUCAUGUUGAUCCUUUCCUCCAUCAUCACUCCAGAUACCAUUGCCCCACUACCUCUUGCAUAGCUUGUGUGACCAAGCUGGUCAAUCCACAUCACAAUUAAAUGUUCCUGGGCAAGAGUCAGGUCAAAACUGAGCUAGAUAGACCAAGUCCCAAUUCGUACCAUGAUUUCUAGCAAGUUGUUUGACAUUCUGGAACAAUAUUACAUGGUUAAUCAUAACCAUAUCUCAAGUAGUCAACAUUUCCACGUGUUU